RNAcentral lists this ribosomal RNA (496 nucleotides) under uncultured bacterium. RNAcentral describes it as "partial 16S ribosomal RNA". It matches the Rfam family "Bacterial small subunit ribosomal RNA", at positions 28 to 506 of the family's 1533-position model. The record is from RNAcentral.
GAUGAACGCUGGCGGCGUGCCUAAUACAUGCAAGUCGAGCGAACAGACGAGGAGCUUGCUCCUUCGACGUUAGCGGCGGACGGGUGAGUAACACGUAGGUAACCUACCUAUAAGACUGGGAUAACUUCGGGAAACCGGAGCUAAUACCGGAUAAUAUUUCGAACCGCAUGGUUCGAUAGUGAAAGAUGGCUUUGCUAUCACUUAUAGAUGGACCUGCGCCGUAUUAGCUAGUUGGUAAGGUAACGGCUUACCAAGGCAACGAUACGUAGCCGACCUGAGAGGGUGAUCGGCCACACUGGAACUGAGACACGGUCCAGACUCCUACGGGAGGCAGCAGUAGGGAAUCUGCCGCAAUGGGCGAAAGCCUGACGGAGCAACGCCGCGUGAGUGAUGAAGGUCUUCGGAUCGUAAAACGCUGUUAUUAGGGAAGAACAAACGUGUAAGUAACGGUGCACGUCUUGACGGUACCGAAUCAGAAAGCCACGGCUAACUACGU